GACGAACGCUGGCGGCGCGCCUAACACAUGCAAGUCGAACGGAGCUGAGAGAAGCUUGCUUUUCUUAGCUUAGUGGCGAACGGGUGAGUAACGCGUGAGUAACCUGCCCUGUAGUGGGGGACAACAGUUGGAAACGACUGCUAAUACCGCAUAAGCCCACGAUCCGGCAUCGGAUUGAGGGAAAAGGAUUUAUUCGCUUCAGGAUGGACUCGCGUCCAAUUAGCUAGUUGGUGGGGUAACGGCCCACCAAGGCGACGAUUGGUAGCCGGACUGAGAGGUUGAGCGGCCACAGUGGGACUGAGACACGGCCCAGACUCCUACGGGAGGCAGCAGUGGGGGAUAUUGCACAAUGGGGGAAACCCUGAUGCAGCGACGCCGCGUGGAGGAAGAAGGUUUUCGGAUUGUAAACACCUGUCGUUAGGGACGAUAAUGACGGUACCUAACAAGAAAGCACCGGCUAACUACGUG
RNAcentral lists this ribosomal RNA (468 nucleotides) under uncultured bacterium. RNAcentral describes it as "partial 16S ribosomal RNA". It matches the Rfam family "Bacterial small subunit ribosomal RNA", at positions 28 to 507 of the family's 1533-position model. The record is from RNAcentral.